AACUGCUGGACAAGGAGUGUUCUGUUGAGCUCAUUUUCACACGAUGAACAACUGGCUUAGAACUGAUUCGGGCAAGGGGAAUCCGACUGUUUAAUUGAAACAAAGCAUUGCGAGGGCCUCAAAGGGUGGUGCCACAAUGUGAUUUCUGCCCAGUGCUCUGAAUGUCAAAGUGAGGAAAUUCAACUAAGCGCGGGUAAACGGCGGGAGUAACUAUGACUCUCUUAAGGUAGCCAAAUGCCUCGUCAUCCAAUUAGUGACGCGCAUGAAUGGAUUAAUGAGAUUCCCACUGUCCCCAUCUACUGUCCAGCGAAACCACAGCCAAGGGAACGGGCUUGGGUAAAUCAGCGGGGAAAGAAGACCCUGUUGAGCUUGACUCUAAUCUGACUUUGUGAAAUGACUUAGGAGGUGUAGGAUAUGUGGGAGCUCUGGUGAUCUUGAAAUACCACUACUCUUAAUGUCACUUUACUUACUCUAUCAGACUGUGGCCUGCUUCCCAGCAGGUUUUUGUUUCAAGGCAUCUCAUCUGACUUGUUGACUUGCGUAGAGGACGUAAUCAGGUGGGCAGUUUGGCUGGGGCGGCACAUCUGUUAAAGGAUAACGCAGGUGUCCCAAGGUAAGCUCAAGGAGAACAGAAAUCUCAUGUGGAUCACAAGGGGAAAUGCUUGCUUGAUUUUGCUUUUCAGUGUGAAGACAAACUGUGCAAACAUGGCCUAUCGAUCCUUUGG
Molecule: ribosomal RNA, 725 nt
Filed under: Gambierdiscus australes
Lineage: Eukaryota; Dinophyceae; Gonyaulacales; Pyrocystaceae
Description: LSU rRNA
Rfam family: Eukaryotic large subunit ribosomal RNA
Source: RNAcentral